This is a non-coding RNA of Phrynosoma platyrhinos (Desert horned lizard), 72 nucleotides long. NCBI's taxonomy places the organism in Eukaryota, Metazoa, Chordata, Lepidosauria, Squamata, Phrynosomatidae. The record is from the annotation of a GenBank genome assembly.
GACAGCGUGGUAUCAUGGUUUAAGUGUUGAACUACAACUCCAGAGACCAGGGUUCAAUUCCCAGCUCAGCCA